AGAGUUUGAUCAUGGCUCAGGAUGAACGCUGGCGGUCUGCUUAACACAUGCAAGUCGAACGAAGUGCUUCGGCACUUAGUGGCGGACGGGUGAGUAACGCGUGAGAAUCUGCCUUGAGGACUGGGACAACAGCUGGGAACGGCUGCUAAUACCAGAUAUGCAAGUAAGUGAAACGGGGCAACCCGCCUUGAGAUGAGCUCGCGUCUGAUUAGCUAGUUGGUGGGGUAAGAGCCCACCAAGGCUGCGAUCAGUAACUGGUCUGAGAGGAUGACCAGUCACACUGGGACUGAGACACGGCCCAGACUCCUACGGGAGGCAGCAGUGGGGAAUUUUCCGCAAUGGGCGAAAGCCUGACGGAGCAAGACCGCGUGAGGGAGGAAGGCUCUUGGGUUGUAAACCUCUUUUCUUGGGGAAGAAAAAAAUGACGGUACCCAAGGAAUCAGCAUCGGCUAACUCCGUGCCAGCAGCCGCGGUAAUACGGAGGAUGCAAGCGUUAUCCGGAAUGAUUGGGCGUAAAGCGUCCGCAGGUGGCAAUGUAAGUCUGCUGUCAAAGCGUCUGGCUCAACCAGAUAAAGGCAGUGGAAACUACAUAGCUAGAGUAAGGUAGGGGUAGAGGGAAUUCCUGGUGUAGCGGUGAAAUGCGUAGAGAUCAGGAAGAACACCGGUGGCGAAAGCGCUCUGCUGGACCUUAACUGACACUGAGGGACGAAAGCUAGGGGAGCGAAUGGGAUUAGAUACCCCCGUAGUCC
RNAcentral lists this ribosomal RNA (749 nucleotides) under uncultured cyanobacterium. RNAcentral's name for it is "bacterial SSU rRNA". It matches the Rfam family "Bacterial small subunit ribosomal RNA", at positions 8 to 796 of the family's 1533-position model. Lineage: Bacteria; Bacillati; Cyanobacteriota. The record is from RNAcentral.